Hippocampus zosterae (dwarf seahorse) is the source of this 985-nucleotide long non-coding RNA. RefSeq lists it as uncharacterized. The record is from RefSeq and is a predicted model, not a curated record. The transcript is spliced from 2 exons. NCBI's taxonomy places the organism in Eukaryota, Metazoa, Chordata, Actinopteri, Syngnathiformes, Syngnathidae.
AAGCAUUUCUUUGUUGGACCAAAACACAGUUGGAUAGCCUGUUUUCGGACCCUUUGGAUGGGUGGGUUUUCUCCGGGUCGUCCGCUUUUUCUCCCGCAUUCCAAAAAGAUGCACGGCAGCCUCAAGGAACACAUAUUGUCCCCCAGGUGUGAUUCUGAGGGCAAACGGUUGUUUGUCAACGUUCAGGAUGUACCCCGCCGACUGCCCGCAGAUAACUGGGAUCGGUUCUGGCGCGCCCCCGAUCCUCGUGAGGAUUGGCGGAUUAGAAACUGGAUGGAUGGAUAUUAGGGACAGAAAUCCAUCCAUGAGCUACAGCUGGCCAAGACAGCCACUGCAGUGGAAUUGGCGUUUCCCCCACCCCCCAAAAAAGGCCCGUUUGCGUUGACAAAACAUGGCGGAUGGGAGAGCACGCGCCGCAGAGACUGUGUAGUGUGCUGACAGCAGCCAUUUCAGUCGCUUCAACUCCAGGCAUCAUAUUCUUUAAAAAAAAAAAAGAAAAAAAAAAGACAACCCAUUGACAAAAACAAGGUCCCAAAAACAGACUUGGCGGGCAGAGAACCCAAAAGCUGUGGCGGUGAGACCAUCUGUUGUUGAAACGUUCUUUCAUUCAGUCACUUUUUUUUUCUUUAAAUAAUCCGACGAUGCUCCUCUGAUCUUGAUGUCAUUUUGACCCACUUUCCAAAGUGCACAUUUUACUGUCCGUUUCUGACGGCGGCUUAGCUUUGGAGUGACUUUUUCCCUCUUUGGAAGAACAUGCACUACAGCGGAUGCUCAGAAGUUGCCACUAAAAAUGAUUUCGGCAAGUACGUCUUUUCACUAAGGUCCACUAACUUUUGCUUUGGAUGCCAACAUUUUAACGAUGGGAAAUGUAACUUUUCUAACAUUGUACUUGCCCUUCCUCAGUUAGCCACUUAUUUCCCCACUACUGUGACUUAAGUUUUAUUUCUAUCCUGUGAGCAUUGCUGAAUAAAUGUUUUUAUACAUA